CCUACGGGUGGCAGCAGUAGGGAAUAUUGCUCAAUGGGGGAAACCCUGAAGCAGCAACGCCGCGUGGAGGAUGAAGGUUUUCGGAUUGUAAACUCCUUUUGUUAGAGAAGAUAAUGACGGUAUCUAACGAAUAAGCACCGGCUAACUCCGUGCCAGCAGCCGCGGUAAUACGGAGGGUGCAAGCGUUACUCGGAAUCACUGGGCGUAAAGAGGGCGUAGGCGGGAUAGCAAGUCAGAUGUGAAAUCCUAUGGCUUAACCGUAGAACUGCAUUUGAAACUGUUAUUCUAGAGUAUGGGAGAGGUAGGUGGAAUUCUUGGUGUAGGGGUAAAAUCCGUAGAGAUCAAGAGGAAUACUCAUUGCGAAGGCGACCUGCUAGAACAUAACUGACGCUGAUGCGCGAAAGCGUGGGGAGCAAACAGGAUUAGAUACCCCAGUAGUC
This 440-nucleotide ribosomal RNA is filed under the name uncultured bacterium. RNAcentral describes it as "partial 16S ribosomal RNA". It matches the Rfam family "Bacterial small subunit ribosomal RNA", at positions 338 to 795 of the family's 1533-position model. The record is from RNAcentral.